GACGAACGCUGGCGGCGUGCUUAACACAUGCAAGUCGUACGGUAAGGCCCUUUCGGGGGUACCCGAGUGGCGAACGGGUGAGUAACACGUGAGUAACCUGCCCACAACUUUGGGAUAACGCUAGGAAACUGGUGCUAAUACUGGAUAUGUGCUCCUGCUGCAUGGUGGGGGUUGGAAAGCUCCGGCGGUUGUGGAUGGACUCGCGGCCUAUCAGCUUGUUGGUGGGGUAGUGGCCUACCAAGGCGGCGACGGGGAGCCGGCCUGAGUGGGUGACCGGCCACAGUGGGACUGAGAUACAGCCACGACUCCGACGGGAGGCAGCAGUAGGGAAGAUUGCUCAAGGGGCGUAAGCCUGAUGCAGCAACGCCGCGUGCGGGAUGACGGUCUUCGGGUUGUAAACCGCAUUCAGCAGGGACGAAGCUUUUUGUGACGGUACCUGCAGAAGAAGCACCGGCUAACUACGUG
This 465-nucleotide ribosomal RNA is filed under the name uncultured bacterium. RNAcentral's name for it is "partial 16S ribosomal RNA". It matches the Rfam family "Bacterial small subunit ribosomal RNA", at positions 28 to 507 of the family's 1533-position model. The record is from RNAcentral.